ACAACAUUAGGACCGUCGGUCUACCAAGCAAAAUAUCACCCGCUCGGUGGAAGAUCUUUCCUUUCGUCGU
Non-coding RNA from Bombyx mori (domestic silkworm), 70 nucleotides. NCBI's taxonomy places the organism in Eukaryota, Metazoa, Arthropoda, Insecta, Lepidoptera, Bombycidae. The record is from Rfam.